Molecule: ribosomal RNA, 424 nt
Filed under: uncultured bacterium
Lineage: Bacteria
Description: partial 16S ribosomal RNA
Rfam family: Bacterial small subunit ribosomal RNA
Source: RNAcentral
AAUCUUCCACAAUGGGCGAACGCCUGAUGGAGCAACGCCGCGUGAGUGAAUAAGGUUUUCGGAUCUUAAAACUCUGUUGUAAGGGAAGAACAAGUACAGGAGUAACUGGCUGUACCUUGACGGUACCUUAGUAGAAAGCCACGGCUAAAUACGUUCCAGCAGCCGCGGUAAUACGUAGGUGGCAAGCGUUGUCCGGUAUUAUUGGGCGUAAAGAGAGCGCAGGCGGUCCUUUAAGUCUGAUGGGAACGCCGAAGGCUCAACCGUGGAGGGUCAUUGGAAACAGGGGGACUUGAGUGAAGAAGAGGCAAGUGGAAUUCAAAGUGUAGCGGUGAAAUGCGUAGAGAUUUGGAGGAACACCAGUGGCGAAGGCGACUUUCUGGUCUGUAACUGACGCUGAGACGCGAAAGCGUGGGGAGCAAACAGG